GUAGGGGGCAAGCGUUGUCCGGAUUUAUUGGGCGUAAAGCGCGUGUAGGCGGCCUGGUAGGUCGGUUGUGAAAACUCGAGGCUCAACCUCGAGACGUCGACCGAAACCACCUGGCUAGAGUCCGGAAGAGGAGAGUGGAAUUCCUGGUGUAGCGGUGAAAUGCGCAGAUAUCAGGAAGAACACCCGUGGCGAAGGCGGCUCUCUGGGACGGUACUGACGCUGAGACGCGAAAGCGUGGGGAGCGAACAGGAUUAGAUACCCUGGUAGUCCACGCCGUAAACGAUGGGUGCUAGGUGUGGGCGGUGUCGACUCCGUCCGUGCCGAAGCUAACGCAUUAAGCACCCCGCCUGGGGAGUACGGCCGCAAGGCU
This 370-nucleotide ribosomal RNA is filed under the name uncultured bacterium. RNAcentral describes it as "bacterial SSU rRNA". It matches the Rfam family "Bacterial small subunit ribosomal RNA", at positions 527 to 895 of the family's 1533-position model. The record is from RNAcentral.